Molecule: ribosomal RNA, 463 nt
Filed under: uncultured bacterium
Lineage: Bacteria
Description: partial 16S ribosomal RNA
Rfam family: Bacterial small subunit ribosomal RNA
Source: RNAcentral
GAUGAACGCUGGCGGCGUGCUUAACACAUGCAAGUCGAACGGAAAGGCCCAAGCUUGCUUGGGUACUCGAGUGGCGAACGGGUGAGUAACACGUGGGUGAUCUGCCCUGCACUUCGGGGUAAGCCUAGGAAACUGGGUCUAAUACCGGAUAGGACCACCUCGUAGAUGGUGUGGUGGAGAGAUUUUUCGGGGUGGGAUGUGCUCGCGGCCUAUCAGCUUGUUGGUGGGGUAGUGGCCUACCAAGGCGUCGGGGGGUAGCCGUGCUGAGAGGGGGUACGACCACAUUGGGACUGUGCGACGGCCCAGCCUCCGACGGGAAGCAGCGGUGAGGAAUGUUGCACGAUCGGCGGCAGCCUGAUGCAGCGACGCCGCGUGGGUGAUGGCGGCCUUCUGGUUGUAAGCUCCUUUCGCCAAAGACGCAUUUAGGACGGUAUUGGGAGAAGAAGCACCGGCUAACUACGUG